Molecule: ribosomal RNA, 276 nt
Filed under: uncultured Clostridia bacterium
Lineage: Bacteria; Bacillati; Bacillota; Clostridia
Description: partial 16S ribosomal RNA
Rfam family: Bacterial small subunit ribosomal RNA
Source: RNAcentral
UGAUUUCUUCGGAAUGAAACCAGAUAUGCCUAGUGGCGGACGGGUGAGUAACACGUGAGCAACCUAUCCUAUACAACGGGAUAACACAGAGAAAUUUGUGCUAAUACGGUAUAAGACCACACUCCGGCAUCGGAGAGGGGUAAAAGCUGAGGCGGUAUAGGAGGGGCUCGCGGCCCAUUAGCUAGUUGGAGAGGUAACGGCUCACCAAGGCGACGAUGGGUAGCCGAUCUGAGAGGAUGAACGGCCACAUUGGAACUGAGAAACGGUCCAAACUCC